GGGAUUAGAUACCCCACUAUGCUUAGCCUUAAACUUAGAUGUUAAAUUUACAAGCAGCAUCCGCCAGGGUACUACAAGCGCUAGCUUAAAACCCAAAGGACUUGACGGUGUCUCAGACCCACCUAGAGGAGCCUGUUCUAGAACCGAUAAUCCCCGUUAAACCUCACCACCCCUUGUUUUCCCCGCCUAUAUACCGCCGUCGCAAGCUUACCCUGUGAAGGUCUCAUAGUAAGCAAAAUGGGUACAUCCCAAAACGUCAGGUCGAGGUGUAGCUUACGAGGUGGGAAGAAAUGGGCUACAUUUUCUAUAUCAGAAUAAUACGAACAGCACCAUGAAAUUUGUGCUCGAAGGUGGAUUUAGUAGUAAGAAAUAAAUAGAGAGUCUUUUUGAACCAGGCUCUGAGACGCGCACACACCGCCCC
Molecule: ribosomal RNA, 421 nt
Filed under: Bryconamericus deuterodonoides
Lineage: Eukaryota; Metazoa; Chordata; Actinopteri; Characiformes; Stevardiidae
Description: partial 12S ribosomal RNA
Rfam family: Bacterial small subunit ribosomal RNA
Source: RNAcentral